RNAcentral lists this ribosomal RNA (709 nucleotides) under Taira sp. 11_13. Its description in RNAcentral is "eukaryotic LSU rRNA". The stretch from base 451 to 709 matches the Rfam family "Eukaryotic large subunit ribosomal RNA", at positions 665 to 898 of the family's 3401-position model. The record is from RNAcentral. Lineage: Eukaryota; Metazoa; Arthropoda; Arachnida; Araneae; Amaurobiidae.
AUUCAGUCUGGGGCGACGGACGUGCGGGUCGGAAGACCAGGUAGGGCUUCCCCGACUGGGGGCCGUCUGACUGCACGAAGUUCCGUUGCGCCCGACGCAUUUGUCUCCCGUCCGAAGGACGCCGCAGCCGGUUGGGUAGUUGCAAACUCGACGGCCUGAGGGGCGGACGAUGGCAGGUGGCCGGUGGCGUACCUCGGUGCGUCGCCGGUUGUUAGCCGGUCCGUCAGUGGCUCGUCACCCGACCGAGGUGUCACUAGGCCCUUCGGGGCCUCAGCGUCUCCUCCCACGGAAGUCGAGACAGAGUGUCGCAGGUGAACCUCGCCGUCCCGUUCGCACUCCGCAGGAGUGGUCGGGCGAGCGAGAGGCUCCGUUGGCGGCACCGGGCUCGUUGGAGGCAGGAGGCUAGCGGCGAGUAGGUCGGUCACCCACCCGACCCGUCUUGAAACACGGACCAAGGAGUCUAACAUGUGCGCGAGUCAAUGGGUCUUGAAUAGGCCCAGAGGCGCAAUGAAAGCAAAGGUCGGCAGACGUCGACCGAGUUGGGAUCCCCGUUUCGGCGGGGCGCACCAACGACCCGUCCUAUCCGACUCGUCGGUUGGGCGGAGUAUGAGCGUACACGUUGGGACCCGAAAGAUGGUGAACUAUGCCCGGACAGGACGAGGCCAGAGGAAACUCUGGUGGAGGUCCGCAGCGGUUCUGACGUGCAAAU